AUACGUGUGUGUGUGUGUCAGGAGCGGGCCGCCAUGUUGGAGGUGGCAUGGAGGUUUCCUGUUUCCGGGACAACGAGAGAGCGCUUUGUUGUUUCCUUCUGUUCCCGGCAGAUUGCAUUGUAUUACGGCAGUGCUGAGAGGACCGUGGCUGCAGACCUGAGAUAUCACCUAAGGCUAUCACAGAUGUUGUGCUCUCAGCACAACGAAAAUAGGAAACAAGAAUUUGAAUAUAUUAAGAAUUACUGAACACGUGUAA
This is a long non-coding RNA of Hyla sarda, 256 nucleotides long. RefSeq lists it as uncharacterized. The transcript is spliced from 3 exons. Lineage: Eukaryota; Metazoa; Chordata; Amphibia; Anura; Hylidae. The record is from RefSeq and is a predicted model, not a curated record.